Molecule: ribosomal RNA, 1942 nt
Filed under: human gut metagenome
Description: bacterial LSU rRNA
Rfam family: Bacterial large subunit ribosomal RNA
Source: RNAcentral
UUAAGUGAAUAAGGGCGCACGGAGGAUGCCUUGGCACUAGGAGUCGAAGAAGGACGCGACAAACGGCGAAACGCCUCGGGGAGCUGUAAGUGAGCAUUGAUCCGGGGGUAUCCGAAUGGGGAAACCCGCUAGUGGUUAUACGCUAGCACCAUAUGGUGAAUACAUAGCCAUAUAGGAGACAGACCCAGGGAACUGAAACAUCUAAGUACCUGGAGGAAAAGAAAGAAAAAUCGAUUCCCGUAGUAGCGGCGAGCGAAGUGGGAAGAGCCCAAACCGGAUUUAUCCGGGGUUGUAGGACCUUCAUAAUUGACAAAUCAUGAUAGCCGAAUGGUCUGGGAAGGCCAACCGUAGGGGGUGAGAGUCCCGUAGGUGAAAUUGUGAGAUGCAUGGAAGGAAUCCUGAGUACGGCGGGACACGUGGAAUCCCGUCGGAAUCAACGAGGACCAUCUCGUAAGGCUAAAUACUACCUAGUGACCGAUAGUGAACCAGUACCGUGAGGGAAAGGUGAAAAGAACCCCGGAAGGGGAGUGAAAGAGAACCUGAAACCGUGUGCCUACAAAUAGUCAGAGCCCGUUAAUGGGUGAUGGCGUGCCUUUUGUAGAAUGAACCGGCGAGUUACGAUAUCGUGCGAGGUUAAGCAGAAGAUGCGGAGCCGUAGCGAAAGCGAGUCUGAAUAGGGCGAAGAGUACGAUGUUGUAGACCCGAAACCGUGUGAGCUAGCCAUGAGCAGGCUGAAGGUCAGGUAACACUGACUGGAGGGCCGAACCAGGGCACGUUGAAAAGUGCUUGGAUGACUUGUGGCUAGGGGUGAAAUUCCAAUCGAACACGGAUAUAGCUGGUUCUCUCCGAAAUAGCUUUAGGGCUAGCCUCGAUGUUAAGUCUACUGGAGGUAGAGCACUGAAUGGGUGAUGGCCCCACCUCGGGGUACUGAUCUCAAUCAAACUCCGAAUGCCAGAUAGAUAUAAUCGGGAGUCAGACUGUGGGUGAUAAGGUCCAUGGUCAAAAGGGAAAGAGCCCAGACCGCCAGCUAAGGCCCCCAAGUGUCCGUUAAGUGGAAAAGGAUGUGGAGAUGCACAGACAACUAGGAGGUUGGCUUAGAAGCAGCCAUCCUUUAAAGAGUGCGUAAUAGCUCACUAGUCGAGUGACUCUGCGCCGAAAAUGUACCGGGGCUAAACGGACCGCCGAAGCUGCGGAUUGACUUUAGAGUCAGUGGUAGGAGAGCGUUCUAACAGCGGUGAAGCAGUACCGGAAGGAGCUGUGGAGCGGUUAGAAGUGAGAAUGCCGGUGUGAGUAGCGAAAGAUAGGUGAGAAUCCUAUCCAUCGAAAGCCUAAGGUUUCCAGGGGAAGGCUCGUCCGCCCUGGGUAAGUCGGGACCUAAGGUGAGGCCGAAAGGCGUAGCCGAUGGACAACAGGUUGAUAUUCCUGUACCACUUAUUAAACUGAUGGAGUGACGGAGAAGGCUAAGUUGAGCGUGUGAUUGGAUUCACGUGUAAGCAGUGAGGUGGUCAUGUAGGCAAAUCCGCAUGGCAUAACAUUGAGCUGUGAUGCCGAAGCCGAAUGGCGAAGUCAACUGACGUCACGCUUCCAAGAAAAGCUUCUAGGGUUAAUUUAAUAAGUGCCCGUACCGAUAACCGACACAGGUAGGCGAGGAGAGAAUCCUAAGAUGAGCGAGAGAACUCUUGUUAAGGAACUCGGCAAAAUGACCCCGUAACUUCGGGAGAAGGGGUGCUUGUGAAAGCAAGCCGCAGUGAAUAGGCCCAGGCGACUGUUUAUCAAAAACACAGGUCUCUGCUAAACCGCAAGGUGAUGUAUAGGGGCUGACGCCUGCCCGGUGCUGGAAGGUUAAGAGGAGAGGUUAGCGCAAGCGAAGCUUUGAAUUGAAGCCCCAGUAAACGGCGGCCGUAACUAUAACGGUCCUAAGGUAGCGAAAUUCCUUGUCGGG